Molecule: ribosomal RNA, 426 nt
Filed under: uncultured bacterium
Lineage: Bacteria
Description: bacterial SSU rRNA
Rfam family: Bacterial small subunit ribosomal RNA
Source: RNAcentral
AGGGAAUCUUCCGCAAUGGACGAAAGUCUGACGGAGCAACGCCGCGUGAGUGAAGAAGGUCUUCGGAUCGUAAAACUCUGUUGUUAGGGAAGAACAAGUAUCGUUCGAAUAGGGCGGUACCUUGACGGUACCUAACCAGAAAGCCACGGCUAACUACGUGCCAGCAGCCGCGGUAAUACGUAGGUGGCAAGCGUUGUCCGGAAUUAUUGGGCGUAAAGCGCGCGCAGGCGGUCUUUUAAGUCUGAUGGGAAAGCCCCCGGCUCAACCGGGGAGGGUCAUUGGAAACUGGGGAACUUGAGUGCAGAAGAGGAGAGUGGAAUUCCACGUGUAGCGGUGAAAUGCGUAGAGAUGUGGAGGAACACCAGUGGCGAAGGCGACUCUCUGGUCUGUAACUGACGCUGAGGCGCGAAAGCGUGGGGAGCGAAC